GUUAAAAAUUGGGCUCCCUGGGCCUCACCUCAGACCUACUGAAUGAGAAUCUUUGCAGGUGGAGUCCAGGAAUCUGCAUCUUAGCCCACUUCCC
RNAcentral lists this microRNA precursor (94 nucleotides) under Chlorocebus sabaeus (green monkey). RNAcentral describes it as "miRNA (ENSCSAG00000024330.1)". Lineage: Eukaryota; Metazoa; Chordata; Mammalia; Primates; Cercopithecidae. The record is from RNAcentral.